RNAcentral lists this transfer RNA (72 nucleotides) under Striuntius lateristriga (spinner barb). RNAcentral describes it as "tRNA-Val". It matches the Rfam family "tRNA". Rfam says of the family: Transfer RNA (tRNA) molecules are approximately 80 nucleotides in length. Lineage: Eukaryota; Metazoa; Chordata; Actinopteri; Cypriniformes; Cyprinidae. The record is from RNAcentral.
CAGGACGUGGCUGAGCUAGUUAAGCAUCUCACUUACACCGAGAAGACACUCAUGCAAAUUGAGUCGCCCUGA